GAGUUUGAUCCUAGCUCAGGAUUAACGCUUGUGAUAUGCUUAACACAUGCAAGUUAAAUUUUUUUAUGGUAAAAAUUAUUUAAAAAUAAAUAAUAAUUUAGCGUACGGGUGAGUAAUAUAUAAGAAUUUACUUUUAUAAUUUAAUUAAUAUUAAAUAUAAUGUUGAAAAUCAAAAAAAAAAAUUUAUAAAAAUAAGCUUAUAUUUGAUUAGUUAGUUGGUAAAAUAAAAGUUUACCAAGACAAUGAUCAAUAGUUGAUCUUAUCGGAUAAUCAACCACACUGAGAUUGAGAUACAGCUCAGAUUCUUUUUUAGAAGCAGCAGUGGGGAAUUUUUCGCAAUAAGCAAAAGCUUGACGAAUCAAUAUCGCGUGAAGGAAAAAGGCUUUUUUUAGUCAUAAACUUCUUUUUUUUAAGAAAAAAAAUAUGAUUAUUAUUUUAAGAAUAAGCAUCGGCUAAUUCUGUGCCAGCAGCCGCGGUAAUACAGGAGAUGCUAGUGUUAUCCAAAAUUAUUGGGCAUAAAAAGUUUUUAGAUUAUUUUUAUAAUUUAUUAUAAAAUUAUAAGAUUUAAUCUUAUAUAAUUAAUAAAAAUUAAAUUAUUAGAGUUUUUAAUUUAAGGGUAGAAGGAAUUUUUAGUGUAACAGUUAAAUGUGUUGAUAUUAAAAAGAACACCAAAGGCAAAAGCAUUCUACUUAAAAUAUACUGACUUUUAUAAACGAAAGCUAUAGUAGCAAACGGGAUUAGAUACCCCAUUAGUUUUAGCUGUAAAUUAUGAAUAUUAAAAAAAAUAUUAUUAUUUUUUUAUAGUAAAUACGUUAAAUAUUCUGCCUGAAAAUUAUAUUUGCAAAAAUUAAAUUCAAAGGAAUUGACGGGGACUUACAAAAGUGAUGGAGCAUGUGGUUUAAUUCGAUGCAAAACGAAAAAUCUUACCAAAAUUAUUAUAAAAAAUAAUAUAUUAAUAUAUAAUAAAUAAAAUAUUAUUUAUUAUAUAUUAAGGUGGUGCAUGGCUGUCAAAAGUUCGUGUCGUAAGAUGUUAAAAAAAAUUUAUAACGAACAAAACCCUAAUAUUUUAUUGCUAUAAUUUAUAAUAUUUUUUUAUAUUUUUAUAGUACUUUUAAUAAAAAAAAAGGAUUACGUCAAGUCAUCAUGCCCCUUUAUAUUUUGGGCUACACACAUGCUACAAUGGAUAAAUAACAAAAAAUUUAAAUUUAAUAAUAAUAAAUAAUUUAUUAAAUAUAAAAUUAUCCAAAAUUCGAAUUAUAAAUUGUAAAUCAUUUAUAUGAAGUUGGAAUCACUAGUAAUCACAGGUAAGAUAUACUGUGGUGAAUAUAAUUAUAAGUCUUGUACAUACCGCCCGUCACAUUUUGGAAAUUUUUUUAAUAAAAAUUUUAAAAUUAAAAUUAAAAAAUAAAUAAUAACUAAAAUGAAGUCGUAACAAGGUAGUUGUACUGGAAAGUGUGGCUAGAAUACCUCCAUU
RNAcentral lists this ribosomal RNA (1474 nucleotides) under Balanophora laxiflora. RNAcentral's name for it is "16S ribosomal RNA". It matches the Rfam family "Bacterial small subunit ribosomal RNA". Lineage: Eukaryota; Viridiplantae; Streptophyta; Magnoliopsida; Santalales; Balanophoraceae. The record is from RNAcentral.